RNAcentral lists this ribosomal RNA (1516 nucleotides) under Bifidobacterium avesanii. RNAcentral describes it as "bacterial SSU rRNA". It matches the Rfam family "Bacterial small subunit ribosomal RNA". Lineage: Bacteria; Bacillati; Actinomycetota; Actinomycetes; Bifidobacteriales; Bifidobacteriaceae. The record is from RNAcentral.
AGGGUUCGAUUCUGGCUCAGGAUGAACGCUGGCGGCGUGCUUAACACAUGCAAGUCGAACGGGAUCCGGCCAGCUUGCUGGUUGGUGAGAGUGGCGAACGGGUGAGUAAUGCGUGACCGACCUGCCCCAUGCUCCGGAAUAGCUCCUGGAAACGGGUGGUAAUGCCGGAUGCUCCACAGGGCUGCAUGGCCCUGUGGGAAAGCGCUUAGCGGCAUGGGAUGGGGUCGCGUCCUAUCAGCUUGACGGCGGGGUAACGGCCCACCGUGGCUUCGACGGGUAGCCGGCCUGAGAGGGCGACCGGCCACAUUGGGACUGAGAUACGGCCCAGACUCCUACGGGAGGCAGCAGUGGGGAAUAUUGCGCAAUGGGGGGAACCCUGACGCAGCGACGCCGCGUGCGGGAUGGAGGCCUUCGGGUUGUAAACCGCUUUUGAUCGGGAGCAAGCCUUCGGGUGAGUGUACCUUUCGAAUAAGCGCCGGCUAACUACGUGCCAGCAGCCGCGGUAAUACGUAGGGCGCAAGCGUUAUCCGGAUUUAUUGGGCGUAAAGGGCUCGUAGGCGGUCCGUCGCGUCCGGUGUGAAAGUCCAUCGCUUAACGGUGGAUCUGCGCCGGGUACGGGCGGGCUGGAGUGCGGCAGGGGAGACUGGAAUUCCCGGUGUAACGGUGGAAUGUGUAGAUAUCGGGAAGAACACCAAUGGCGAAGGCAGGUCUCUGGGCCGUUACUGACGCUGAGGAGCGAAAGCGUGGGGAGCGAACAGGAUUAGAUACCCUGGUAGUCCACGCCGUAAACGGUGGACGCUGGAUGUGGGGCCCUUUCCACGGGUUCCGUGUCGGAGCUAACGCGUUAAGCGUCCCGCCUGGGGAGUACGGCCGCAAGGCUAAAACUCAAAGAAAUUGACGGGGGCCCGCACAAGCGGCGGAGCAUGCGGAUUAAUUCGAUGCAACGCGAAGAACCUUACCUGGGCUUGACAUGUUCCCGACAGCCGUAGAGAUGCGGCCUCCCUUCGGGGCGGGUUCACAGGUGGUGCAUGGUCGUCGUCAGCUCGUGUCGUGAGAUGUUGGGUUAAGUCCCGCAACGAGCGCAACCCUCGCCCCGUGUUGCCAGCAUUUCGGAUGGGAACUCACGGGGGACCGCCGGGGUUAACUCGGAGGAAGGUGGGGAUGACGUCAGAUCAUCAUGCCCCUUACGUCCAGGGCUUCACGCAUGCUACAAUGGCCGGUACAGCGGGAUGCGACAUGGUGACAUGGAGCGGAUCCCUGAAAACCGGUCUCAGUUCGGAUCGGAGCCUGCAACCCGGCUCCGUGAAGGCGGAGUCGCUAGUAAUCGCGGAUCAGCAACGCCGCGGUGAAUGCGUUCCCGGGCCUUGUACACACCGCCCGUCAAGUCAUGAAAGUGGGCAGCACCCGAAGCCGGUGGCCUAACCCCUUGCGGGGAGGGAGCCGUCUAAGGUGAGGCUCGUGAUUGGGACUAAGUCGUAACAAGGUAGCCGUACCGGAAGGUGCGGCUGGAUCACCU